RNAcentral lists this long non-coding RNA (2556 nucleotides) under Mus musculus (house mouse). Its description in RNAcentral is "long non-coding RNA chr9:15740805-15743361". Lineage: Eukaryota; Metazoa; Chordata; Mammalia; Rodentia; Muridae. The record is from RNAcentral.
UUAAUUUGUAGUGUGAGCCACUGUUUAUAUGCAAAGUAUAAAAGAAACACACACUUGUUUAAGGGUGUCUGAGGACGUAUUUACCAUUUGAUCAUUUUUCUCUGAUAUUUGGCUUUACAGAAUUCUAUCUUCUAAAGAUUUUUGGAGAAGAUAUGUUGACUCUAGCAGCUCUUCCUUUUGUUUGGGGACUUGGAGGGAGGGGAAGCAGGCACACAUGGCGAACUCGUGUUUGCUGGAUCACAUGGUGACUGCAGUGACCCCAGCAGUUACUUCCUGUCAUGGUGGGAACUGUCCCUGGAAGCUAGUCAGUUGCAUAGGUGCUAUUUUCUCUGUGAAGCAUUGAGAAGAAAGCUGUUGCUUACUCCCAAUGGCUCUCUGUUCCCUGAUGCUCCGAGGAAUGCAUUGGUGUCUGAGUCCACUCAAAACACUGUUCCCACAGGACUUUUUAACACAGGCUCUUUCCCUCCAUGUGUCCCCCUUUCUCCACAGUUGAAGAAGUCGGAGCUGGGAAGUUUUCAGGUUAGAUGUGCCAGUUAAUGUAAAGAAAGCUAUGUUUGUGGUGCUCCAGUACUUUCCUGUUCUGUUCUUUCUGACCUGUCACCAAAGCUGGCUCUGAGUCUUGUUAGAUGGUGUACUUAAAGUGUUCAUAAGCCAUUUAUGGCCGUGCGCUUGUGAAUUUCCUAUCAGGGUUUGAUCUUAUUUGGUAUAUGUGCAUUUGUGGUCCUAGAGAAUGCCAGCUUAAGUGCACAUCGAUACCCUUGCUAACUAGGUUUUACAUAGCUCACCAUUUCACUGUGGUGCCCACAGAUGCAGCACAUCUGUUACUGGCAGCAUACAUUAGGCCUUGUGUGCGACUCCUUUUUUUUUUUCAGUCAAGAUGGGAAAGAUACAGAACAGAGCCAGUGGAAAUAAUAAAUGCAGUUGUUUAUAUAACAUGAGUGGUUCAGCAGAUGUUAACUGUUGAGUGAUAAAACUGUUAUAAAGCAUCAAUAAUGUAAAAUUAUAAAAUGUUGGAAAUUGUGUUUAUUUGACUAGCUUGGCUCAGUUAUCUUCCCUUAGUUAAGAAAAUGUAAGGGAUUUAUCUAGUGCAGAUAACAGGAUUCUUCCGGUCAUUAAAUGGCUGCAUGUUACUGCCAUACAUGACUUUCUGCAUCUCGUUGGUUCUGACCUAGGCUAUAAAAGAAAUAUGCUUAAGAAAUGGCUAGGUCUAGAAUUUAUCGCCUAUCGAGUGAAAUGACAAAUCACCCAAUUAUUUGGAUUUCCUGUUAGAAUUGGCUCGUUCCUGUGUGCAUCCAUGCAUGUUACACCACAGGGACUCACAUCUGAAUCCGUUUCAACUACUCUACUCCAGAUAGGACCAGAUGGUGAUCACAUAGGAAAAUCCAUAUUCAUGACAUGAACAGUUCAGGCUAUAGAUUUUUGUUUUUCAAAAGUGAUUUUGUAAGCUUUAUUGAAAGUAAAGUUGUAUUGGAGUUGUAUCAUUUCUUAUAUUUAUUUUUCUUUGUAAACGAGUUUGAAAAUGCCUAAAAGUACUGUGACUUCUGAAUUGUCAAUAAAGUAUAAUUAUUUUGCUUGCUAAUAAAUGCCUAUUAAGUUUUCUACUCAUAAGAUUAAAUAGUAUAGGAAAUAUCCUAGCUGAAAAUUGCACAAGCAAAGUAUUUUCUUUAUUAAAGCCUUAAAUUUUAUUUUAUUUAUUGUUAUAUGGCUGCAUGUGUCACGAUGCAUAGAGAGGUCAGAGGCCGACUUUGUGGAGCCGCUUCUCUCCUUCCAUCUUUACGUGGGAUUUUAGGAUUCAACUUAGGUCCUCGGCUUGGGAGGCAAGCUUUAGCCACUGAGACAUAGUGGUAUCCCCUCCUAAUUUUUUGUUAUUUAAGUUUUAUUGCAUUCUUAUUACUGUGUAUGUGUGAGACAGAUGUGUGAAUAUUUUCUUAGUUAACAGUGUGAACAGUCUUUAUGGAUAUUCAGAGCCUCAGAGAUCUAAGAGUAUGAUGAAAAACGAGAGGACACUGAGACCCAUGUGCCCAGUGACAUGCAUCACUCAACUUAGCACAGUGUCAAAGGAGCUAAAAUGUGCUGACCCCAUAAAGGACUCAUAAACGUUGAGAUGAUGGGUGUGUCAGCUCUGUGAUUUGAAAACCAUGAAUUGUAUACGUGUUUUAACACCUCAUAUUGUGUUCCAUAAAUCUGUAGAAUUUGAUGUGCCCUUUGGAAAAGCCUUGAGAUAACUAGGUCAUAUCACUGGAUUUAUAAAAUGGGACAAUGGUUUCAGAAAGCACUAUCACAACCCCUUUCCAAAGGAAACAAAGAUUUUAUAUAUUGACUCUUAGGAAUUCUGAGCCUGUGACAUUGAGACAAGGACAUCUAGAAGUAUGUGAGAAACUUCACCAAGAGAAAAGCUGCAAACAAACCAACAAAAAAAAUAGCAACAAAGCCCUGUGGGGCAGGUGGAGCAUCCUAAGGAGGCUGAGUCAGAAGAUCUGAAACUCCAGGCCAGGGUGGACUACAGAAGAAGACCCUGUCUUGAAAACCAAACCAAUAAACAAAAAUCCCUUGUUC